RNAcentral lists this ribosomal RNA (253 nucleotides) under uncultured bacterium. RNAcentral describes it as "partial 16S ribosomal RNA". It matches the Rfam family "Bacterial small subunit ribosomal RNA", at positions 524 to 776 of the family's 1533-position model. The record is from RNAcentral.
UACGAAGGGGGCUAGCGUUGCUCGGAAUCACUGGGCGUAAAGGGUGCGUAGGCGGCUUGAUAAGCGUGCGGUGAAAGCCCGGGGCUCAACCCCGGGUCGGCCGUGCGAACUGUCGAGCUGGAGCACUGUAGAGGCAGGUGGAAUUCCGGGUGUAGCGGUGGAAUGCGUAGAGAUCCGGAAGAACACCGGUGGCGAAGGCGGCCUGCUGGGCAGUGGCUGACGCUGAGGCGCGACAGCGUGGGGAGCAAACAGG